AGCAGCCGCGGUAAUGCCAGCUCCAAUAGCGUAUAUUAAAGUUGUUGCAGUUAAAAGCUCGUAGUUGAAUUUCGGGAUCAUAAGGCUGGUCGUGCCUCUGGUAUGUACUGAUCUCGAUGGUUCCUCCUUCUUGAAGAACCGUAAUGGCAUUAAUUUGUUGUUGCGGGGAAACAGGACUGUUACUUUGAAAAAUUAGAGUGUUUAAAGCAGGCAAUCGCUUGAAUACAUUAGCAUGGAAUAAUGAAAUAGGACGUUCGAUCCUAUUUUGUUGGUUUCUAGGAUUGACGUAAUGAUUAAUAGGGAUAGUUGGGGGCAUUAGUAUUCAAUUGUCAGAGGUGAAAUUCUUGGAUUUAUUGAAGACUAACUACUGC
This 371-nucleotide unclassified non-coding RNA is filed under the name uncultured Glomus. Its description in RNAcentral is "SSU rRNA". It matches the Rfam family "Eukaryotic small subunit ribosomal RNA", at positions 569 to 946 of the family's 1831-position model. Lineage: Eukaryota; Fungi; Glomeromycota; Glomeromycetes; Glomerales; Glomeraceae. The record is from RNAcentral.